GACGAACGCUGGCGGCGUGCUUAACACAUGCAAGUCGAACGGAAAGGCCCUGCUUUUGUGGGGUGCUCGAGUGGCGAACGGGUGAGUAACACGUGAGUAACCUGCCCUUGACUUUGGGAUAACUUCAGGAAACUGGGGCUAAUACCGGAUAGGAGCUCCUGCUGCAUGGGGGGGGUUGGAAAGUUUCGGCGGAUGGGGAUGGACGCGCGGCUUAUCAGCUUGUUGGUGGGGUAGUGGCUUACCAAGGCUUUGACGGGUAGCCGGCCUGGGAGGGUGACCGGCCACAUUGGGACUGAGAUACGGCCCAGACUCCUACGGGAGGCAGCAGUGGGGAAUAUUGCACAAUGGGCGGAAGCCUGAUGCAGCAACGCCGCGUGCGGGAUGACGGCCUUCGGGUUGUAAACCGCUUUCGCCUGUGACGAAGCGUGAGUGACGGUAAUGGGUAAAGAAGCACCGGCUAACUACGUG
RNAcentral lists this ribosomal RNA (468 nucleotides) under uncultured bacterium. RNAcentral's name for it is "partial 16S ribosomal RNA". It matches the Rfam family "Bacterial small subunit ribosomal RNA", at positions 28 to 507 of the family's 1533-position model. The record is from RNAcentral.